RNAcentral lists this long non-coding RNA (37990 nucleotides) under Lathyrus oleraceus (garden pea). Its description in RNAcentral is "Pisum sativum (pea) long non-coding RNA (PSAT_LNC032718)". Lineage: Eukaryota; Viridiplantae; Streptophyta; Magnoliopsida; Fabales; Fabaceae. The record is from RNAcentral.
AGUAAGUCAUAAGUUACAAAUACAUACUCCUAUCUUAUUAAUUCCAAAUACCAAUCUUGUUAUUAAUUCCAAAUACCACUCUAAUAAUUGUAAAGAAAAGUACAUCAAAUAUUCCAAAAGAUAAAUACCAACAUAACUUCAAACCACACCAGAACUAAAAUUAAAGGAAGGCUAUAAUAAUUUGAUGAAAAUGAGUUAACCAGUGUUGAUAUGAACACCAAUGGCAAUAAGAAAGAUUGUAAUGAGUCCAAAAAAGAUGAUUGUAUGAACCAAAAUAGAUACACCACUAGUAUGCAUGUUCCCAAACUCCACCACUCUGUUCCUUCCUGGUACUUGAAACAACAAGCCUGGACUUAGCAACACAAACAACACCACUGCUAUCACCACUGGACCCCAAUCCGCCAUUAUACUACUGUAGUAGUUAUUUAAUUUAUUUUAUCAAAAACAAAAUUCAGAAAUUUCAACUAUGUGGUCGACGAAGAGAAAGCUGAAACUUAUCUGAACCGUGUGACUGACAAAGAGAGAGGCCAGAUCGACGAAGAGAGAGGUGAGACUGGAGAGUGAAACCGUUUGUGAGGCUGAUGAAGAGAUAGAUAUAAUUUCCAGAGAAUAACUCAGUUUGACGAAGAGAUCAAUGUAACCCUAAUUUUGGUAUGGGCCUAAGAUUAUUUGUUCUUAACUUAUACCUGCCCGCGGGCUGACCGCGACCGCCCUACGCCCGUCCCAUUUUUUUUGUGGGGCGGGGCGAGGCGAACAUACAUAAAUACGCGGGUACAAAAUCUAGGCUCGGCCCGCCAAAAGUGACUGGUAAAACGGGCAUGACCCAUUUUGCCACCCCUACUUUGAAGGCUUUUCUACUGGUUUGCUUAAUUCUGUAUGUUUUAUUGGACUGUUUUCGUUGUUCUUAUUAGUGGCCGUUUUCUUCACAAAUUGAGGUUGUUUAAUGUGAUUAUUUGUAAUUAUAACUAAAUUGUAUGACAUAAGCUAUGAUUUUCAAACGGUUAUGAAAGAUUAUGUUUGAUCAUUUAAUUAUACUUUUGAAGUACUAGCAAAAACUUAACUUGCUUUUGUUAUGCCAUUUCAAAAUUGUUUCAUAAUUAAUUCAAUGAAUUCUUAGAAAGUUGCAUUAAGUUAAAAUCAACAAUCUCUUUGUUAAUUAGAAUUAUUGUGUCUUUUGAGUAUUAUUUUAACACUGCAAGUGUUUGGUUUUGUUAAGUAGUACUCCCUCCCUUUCUUUUGUCAAAAUUUAGCUUUUUUUAUUAUAGGUAAAUAUUUAAAAAAUGACACUUCAAAAGAAAUGUAAUAAUAGAGAAAUUUUCAAAUUAUGUUUUUUAAGGCUAUUUUAGAUUAGAGUUGAGUACCUCAGUCUCCCAAUAAGUCUUGUCCCAAUAAGUGUGAUUUAGUUUUUAAGUCAAAUGGCAAGAGUUUCUAUAAAUUAGUUUGAAAGGGGUUGACCGUUGAGUCUUAUAUGUAGUCAGGUAUGUCCAAAGUGCAUUGUUGAGUUUACAGAACCAUUCCUUCAAGGAGAUGGAGACUGUAUUCUCUAAAGUAGUUUUUUCUAUGUAUUGUAGAUCUUACUUGGCCACUAAGCAGAAUCUCAAAUUGUAUAGCAAUGAAAUGCAAUCCCUCAUCACUAAUCACUAGUUCAGGAUCCCCAAACCUUGGGAUUAUUAAUUUUUGAGUAUUUAUAUCACAAUUCGCAUAUCAUUUGGUAUAUAGUUUGGCAGAGGUCUCAUACAAUCAACUCUAGACAUCUAAAUUUCAGACUAUAAGAAUGUUGUUUAGAGGAGUUUUGUACUUUCUUGAAAUGUUCAAUGCGUGUUGCAUUAUAAAGGCGGGCAUUCUGUGCCAGUUUGUCUGUUUUUUAAUUGCGCUAAUGGGUGAAAAUAUUAACAAUGUCUGUUUUUAUAAAGCAACAUACAAUUGUCCCCUUUUUGGGUCUAUGUUUAGGAAUAACAUUAGAGGAGCCACUAUUUUUAUGUUUAAAGCAAUAACAUAACAAUUGUGUGUAAGUAUUCCUAUAACAAUUGUGUGUAUGUAUUCUUGUUGAUAUAGAUUAUGUGUAUCACCUCAACCUUAUGUGUAUCACCUUCACCUCAUCAAAAGAUAACAAAAUAUGUUCAUUUACGAACAAUGCCGCUAGAGCACAAAUCCAUCUUGCAUCAACAUAUUGUUGAAUCUCAUCCAUACUUGUACCUCUGUGAACCUCCAUUGCAACUUGAUCAAGACCUUUGUAAACACAUUUAUACAAAUAUUUAAUACUUUUGAUGAUGAUGCUGCAAAUCUCAACAUAUAUAAAUCCAAGACAUAUAAUUUUUAACAAAUCAGGUCGAUCUUGUGGGGUUUUAUGGAGGCCUAGUUUGGAAGUUAUCUCAAUCCAAGAAUGAUUGCAUGUCAUUGUAAGGAAUACGUACGGUUUACCCUUGUUAAGAAUAAUGGCCAUACCAUCUUGGUAUGUCUGUGUCAUAUCUCGCUUACUGCCAAUAAAUGAUGAUGACGGUAUUGUUCUUUGUUAGACAUUAUCUAUAGAAAUAUAUGAAAGUAUAAAAAUUAAAUGUGUGGAUAGUGGUAUAAACAUAAAGUCAUGUCAAAAUUCCUCUUAUAAAGCACAUCACCAUUGAGGUAGAAAUUGCCAGAUAGUCUCCUCAAAGUCUUCUUAUCUUUAACAGAUGCCCCAGGCGGGUAAAUUUGACUUUGGAGAAAGCACUUGAUAUCAAAAUACUAUGGCUUAUCAUCUUUCACUUCUUCAACUGCAAAUACAUGAGCUGGUCUAUUCAAGCGCAUCACGGUAAUAUUGGGGACUUCAUUCCAAUAUUUCACCACAAUCAUCGAAGCAAGCGUAGCAAGAGCAUCUUCCAUCCGAUUCUCAUCUCGAGGAAUAUGAUGGAAGUCAACCUCAGUAAAGAAAGUUGAAAUCCUCCUCGCAUAAUCUCUAUAUAGGAUGAGGCCAGGCUGAUUCGUCUCCCAUUCACCCUUAAUCUGAUUAACAACAAGGGCCUAAUCACCAUAAACAUCAAGAUGUUUGAUCCUAAGAUCAAUACAUUCUUCCAAUCCCAUAAUACAGGCCUCAUACUCUGCCAUAUUAUUUGUGCAUUUGAAAGUUAGCCUUGCUGUAAAAGGAAAAUGUGUGCCCCGAGGAGUAAUAAUCACUGCCCCAAUACCGUUUCCAUACUGAUUAACAGCGCCAUCGGGAACCAGACUCUGAUCCUUCAUCGAGCGUAGGCUCAUCGAAAUCUUUCAUCUUCAAAUAUAGAAUCUCCUCAUCAGGGAAGUCGUAAUGAACAGAUUGAUAAUCCUCAAUUGGUUGAUGUGCCAAGUGGCCAGCCAAGAUACUACCUUUAAUAACUUUUUGAGCUCGUUACUCAAUAUCAUACUCAGACAACAACAUCUGCCAACGGGAAAUCCUCCCAGUUAAAGCAGGCUUCUCAAAGAUAUACUUGAUUGGAUCCAUUUUGGAUAUCAACCAAGUUGUAUGAUUUAACAUAUACUAGCGUAAACGCUUAGCAUCCCAAGCCAAAACACAUCAUGUCUUCUCAAGAAUUGAGUACCGAGACUCACAAUCAGUGAACUUCUUACUCAAGUAGUAAAUAACAUAUUCUUUCUUCCCUGAUUCAUCUUGCUGACCCAAUACACAACCCAUAGAGUCAUCAAGCACGGUCAAGUACAUGAUCAAUGGUCUCCCUUCAACAGGCGGGGACAGAAUUGGAGGCUCAGACAGAUACUCUUUGAUACUAUCAAAGGCCUUUUGGAAAUCCUCGGUCCAAUCAUGACGCUGAUCUUUCCGGAGGAGCUUGAAUAGAGGCGCACAUGUGGCAAUCAUGUGGGAUAUAAAUUUGGAAAUAUAAUUCAUGCGGCCAAGAAAAUCUCGGACUUGCUUCUCAAUUUUGGGCGCAUGCAUCUCUUGUAUUGCUUUGACCUUGGCAGGAUCAACUUCAAUACCUCUUUCACUGACAAUAAAGCCCAACAACUUGCCGGAACGAACUCCAAAUGUACACUUGUUCGGAUUCAAGCGGAGUUUGUACUUCCUCAAACGCUAAAAAAGCUUUAACAAGUGCUCUACAUGUUCAACUUCCGUUCUCGACUUUACAAUCAUAUCAUCAACAUAUACCUCGAUCUCCUUGUGCAUCAUAUCAUGAAACAAGGUAGUCAUAGCUCAUUGAUACGUGGCUCCAGAGUUCUUCAAACCGAAGGGCAUCACUCGAUAAUAGAAUGUUCCCCAAGGUGUGAUGAAUAUUGUCUUCUCCAUAUCCUCGGGUGCCAUUUUAAUCUGGUUAUAACCGGAAAAUCCGUCCAUAAAUGAGAAGACAUUGAAUUUAGCUGUAUUAUCUACCAACAUAUUAAUGUGUGGUAGAGGAAAAUCAUCUUUCGGACUAGCUUUAUUCAAGUCUCGAUAGUCAACACACAUUCAGACUUUUCCAUCUUUCUUAGGAACGGGCACAAUAUUGGCCACCCAUUGAGUAUAUGUAGAAGUCACCAGAAACCCCGCAUCAAUUUGCUUAUGAACUUCUUCUUUAAUCUUCACUACCAUAUCAGGAUGAGUUCUUCUGAGCUUUUGCUUCACAGGCACGCACUCAGGCUUCAAAGGAAGGAAAUGUUGCACGAUAUUAGUAUCUAGACCAGGCAUGUCUUCAUACGACCAGGUAAAGACGUCGACAUAUUCUCGUAGCAACUCAAUCAACCCCUUCUUGACAGGCUCUUCCAGGAGUGCCCCAAUCUUCACUUCGCAAACACAGUCUUCAGACCCCAAGUUGACUGUUUCCAGAUUCUCAAGAUGUGGCUGAAUGAUCUUCUCCUCGUGCUCAAGCAGACGGGUAAUCUCAUCAGGAAUCUCUUCAACAUCAUCUUCUUCGGCCUCAAAUAACCAGAUUCUCAAGAUGUGGCUGAAUGAUCUUCUCCUCGUGCUCAAGCAGACGGGUAAUCUCAUCAGGAAUCUCUUCAACAUCAUCUUCUUCGGCCUCAAAUACAGGGAACUCAAAGUUGGGAGAUGGCGCUGGAUCAUUAUGUUCAAUGGGUUUGAUCAACCUGCAUAAUGAUUUUGAGUAUAAAAGAGGUUUCAGAAUUCAAGCAACGCAAAUCAUUAUGUAGAUGAAAAGAUUGAUUUUAUUCUUUUUUUUAGGGUUUUUUGGUGAUCACCAAUUUCAUGCAAAAAGCAAAAAGGGAAAAUAAUUUGGAAAAACAAACAUUUAACAUGUAAUUUUUGAAUGAAUAUCAUUGUAUUAAUAUGCCAACAAUGUCAUCACUUCUCCUUUUGGCAUGGGAGAAGGGUUUUUAAACAAAAUGAACAUAUUACAUAGACUUGUGGAUAACUGUUGGAACAUCAACAACGACCCAAUUAUUGCAGAUUCCACCAGGUAUGACGAAGUUGCCCAGGUCUUCCUCUUCAUCAUCUUCAACAAUAGCAGCAACUUCCUGAUCUUCAACAGUGUGGAUAAAACCACCACUCUGGAAUAGCCCACGCUCAUUGGAAAUACCUGAAGAAUACCUUAUGCCAGCUCGGGAUUUAUUAUCUUCCAAUUUGAUCAUUUGCCCCAAACCAGUAGUUGCACCAUGCUCAAUGGCCAACUUAGCAUCAUUGUAGGAAGCAAAUGAAGAAGGUCAUUUCCUUGAAGGCUCACCAAUAGAUAAGGCUUGGAACGGAGUCCCAACCUCAUCCUCAGCGUCAAUAUAGGAAAAGGAAGAUAAAUGGUUAACCAAGAGAGCCUUCUCUCCCCCUAUCACCACCAACAUCUUGUUUUUAACAAAUUUCAACUUUUGGUGUAGGGUGGAUGUCACGGCUCCUGCCUCGUGAAUCCAUGGUCUGCAAAGCAAACAGCUGUAUGAUGGAUGAAUAUCCAUGACCUGGAAAGUGAUAUGGAAAUCACUAGGUCCAAUCUUGAUCGGGAGUUCUACUUCACCGAUCACAGUUUUCCUCGGUCCAUCAAAAGCUUUCACUACCACUCCACUCUGCCUCAUGGGAGGCCCCUGGUAAGAAAGUUUGGCUAGAGUGGAUUUUGGCAACACAUUAAGCGAUGAUCCUGUGUCCACCAACCCAUUGGAUAAGGCAUCAUCCUUGUAGUUCAUAGAAAUGUGUAAGGCCAAAUUGUGGUCUUUUCCCUCCUCGGGAAGAUCAGCAUCACAAAAGCUCAAAUUGUUACAAGCAGUUAUGUUUGCAACAAUGCUAUCAAACUGUCCAAUAGUGACAUCAUGGUCCACGUAUGCCACGUCCAACACCCUCUGUAAAGCUUCGCGGUGGGGCUCAGAAUUCAUCAACAAAGAUACCACAUAUAUAUUUGAUGGAGUUUGUAGCAGCUGAUCAACAACGUUGUAUUCGCUCCUCUUGAUGAGCCUCAGCAUCUCAUCACAAUCCUCUUUCAAAAUUCCAUGGUGGCUAACCAGGACAGGAGCUUUAACAGUUCUAUCAACAACAGGGUUAACACCCUUCAUAAUAGGUGCCGGAUUAGAAGAAGAAGUCCCCACGGGACCGACAGGAUUAACAACAGCAGUUCUUCUCACGACAUCUUCGUGGGGUUUCGGCUGUCCCGAGAAAACACGACCACUACGGGUCACACCACUAACAUCUGAGAUACUCACAACAGAGGUGGAGGGGAACAACACCUCCUUUCCAUCUUCUAACAUAACUGCAUUGUACCUGUAAGGAACAACUUUGUCAGAUGAAUACGGGACAGGACCCGCUGACUUGAUUACAAGAGAUGGAGAAACUUUCUUCUUGUUGCCAUCAUAUUUGACAACAACAUGCUCUGGUAUUCUGAAAACAGGAGAGAUAACAUCAACUUCGUCCUCAUUACGAUUCUGAAGUAUCUCGAUCAUUCCCUGAUCCAACAUCUCUUGGAUGUCCUUCCUUACUUGUCGGCAUCCUCUUUCAUUGAUAGUGCACACCUGGAACCUAUCAUGGUCAUGCUCAUAAUGACUGUAUCCACACAACAGUCUGUGCAUCUCGACCAAAGAUUUCCUGAUAUCAUUGACAUAUAGGACUUUAUAUUUGCCAGGACAACCUUGGACCAUAUUCACAACAGCUUUCCCAUGCUCGGGCAAUGGGUUCUUCUUGACAUUAGGACCUACGUCCUCGAAAAACAAAAUCCCACUUCUAACAAGGUCUUGCACCUUGGUCUUCAGGGGAUAGCAAUUCUCCAAUCCCAUGCUCGGGCAAUGGGUUCUUCUUGACAUUAGGACCUACGUCCUCGAAAAACAAAAUCCCACUUCUAACAAGGUCUUGCACCUUGGUCUUCAGGGGAUAGCAAUUCUCCACAUCAUGUCCGGGGGCACCGGAAUGAUAUACACAAUGUACUUCUAGCUUAUACCACCACUGAGGGUUGGUCGGUAUAGCGGGAGGGUCUCGUGGAGUAAUUAACUUCCUAUCAAUCAGAGAUGGAUAGAGUUCAGCGUAUGACAUUGGAAUCGGAAAAAAGUGACCCUCUUCCUCUCAUAGCUGGUGCUGGUGUUAUUGUUGUUUCGAGGCUGGUAGGCCUGCUGUUGCUGACGAUGCUGUUGUUGAUACUGUUGAUGUUGUUGUUGUUGUUGUUGAUGCACUUCUCUAAAGGCAGGUGCUAUAUGAGCCACCUGGUGCUGGUUAACGACAGGACGCACGUUCUUCCUCUUCACAGAGGGUUUUCUUUUGAUAUGGGAAGACACAACAUGUGCCUCUCCCUCUUUCUUCUUCGCAAAGCUCCCAUACCUCUUUGCUGAAGAGCCUUUAUCUCUAGUUAGACGUCCUUCACGGACCCCUUCUUCUAGCCUCAUUCCCAUAUUCACCAUUUCGGUGAAGUCCGAGGGAGCACUAGCAAUCAUCCUUUCAUAGUAGAAAGAACUCAAAGUCUUCAAAAAGAUCUUUGUCAUUUCUUUCUCUUCAAGGGGUGGCACUAUCUGAGCUGCCAACUCACGCCACCUUUGGACGUACUCUUUGAAGGUUUCCUUCUCUUUCUGGGACAACGCCCUUAGCCGGUCCCUAUCAGGAGCCAUAUCCAUAUUGUACUUGUAUUGCUUGACGAAGGCUUUGCCAAGAUCGUUGAAGGAGCGGAUGUUCGCGAUGUCCAGACCCAUGUACCACCGGAGAGCAGCACCAGACAGGCUGUCCUGGAAGUAGUGGAUAAGAAGUUGGUCAUUCUCAGUUUGCGUUGACAUCUUGCGAGCAUACAUCACAAGAUGGAUGAGAGGGCAUGUGUUUCCCUUGUACUUCUCAAAGUCAGGUACUUUGAACUUUACAGGGAUCUUCACGUUGGGCACAAGGCACAACUCAGCAGCACUCUUACCGAAAAGGUCUUUACCCCUCAGAGUCUUCAGUUCCUUUCACAACUCAAGGAAUUGGUCUUUCAUUUCAUCCAUCUUCUCAUAAACAUCUGGGCCCUCAAAUGGCUCAGAAUGAUAGACGGUGUCUUCUACCCUUGGUAAAGUGUGCACAAUGGGAGGUGGCACAGAAAGGACCGGGCUAGAUGCCGGCAGAGAAGCGAGAGUUGGAGCAAAACCCUCGGGUACAAAAUUGGCUGGCAUGGUAGGAGCGAAAUUGGCUGUUGCAGCAGGCACAGUUGAGGAAGCUACCUCAGAUAUAACCGUCCUCGCGGGAGGAGUUGCAGGAGUUGGAGAAGAUCGGCUCUGAGCAUCCAGCACUGACUCCAUCAUGGCAGUCAGCCUAGGAAUCUCGUCCUUCGGCUCUCUGUUCUCUUUCUCUAGAUGCUCCAUCAGUCUUGGAAGAUUGGCUACUGUGUUAUACCGGUGUGUCAGCUUGUCUUCAAAAUAAAUGAAGAGCAAAGAGUUAGACCACUGAUCAGAGCUGAACAAAACCUGCUUAUGCAUAUGAUGCAUACAAUGUUUGUGCAUAUGAUUUGUUUUUAUUUGAGGAACUUUAUAGAGAUCUAUUUGUAAAUAUUUGAAAAUAUUAAUCCCUUAAGACACACAUGGAAUACUCAUAAUAAUAAUAUUUGGAAAACAUUUUACACCAAAGAAGUAGUACAAUUUUGGUAACCAAAUACAAUACAAGAGGAAAGGAGAACAAACAUCCUAUGGAGCCCUAGAAACAAUCAUCCAAAGCUCUCGAGAUCGGAAAAUAAGCUGCACGAAGCCUUUUCACCUCUCUCUCAUAAGCUGCCUCCAUAUCAGCCUUCUCCUUGGCGAGUCGAUCAUACUUCCUCUUCCAAAACUUGGAUGACUGAGGAAGAAGAGAAGUAACCACAUCAUCAGGCUCAUCAAUAACCUGAUGCUCCAGAAAUUCUAUCACAGCAUCCUUAUCUCUGAGUUGCUGAAGUAACUCUUCUCGCUCAUGAACCCAAGCACGCGAACGGUCUUCAUCUCUCAACUCCUCUACUCCUUGGCUAGGGAGGGUUGAAGGCCCAACCAUAACCAUAGGGGUAGGUCUCGGAUAGUCAUAUGGCAUGCGGUACUCAAGCGCUCUCUUCCUCACCCAAGAGGUGUAGGGUUCCAAAGCAAUACAAUUCUUCGGACCAAGCUCUUUCCUUCCCUUCCUAUGAACUUUGCGCCAGGCACGGACCAUUCUGCCCUUCAAGUUCUGGGGAUCUUUACCCUCUUGAAAGAACACACCUUCCAAUAAAAUGUUGUUAGGUUUAUCCUUUAAGGGGAACCCAAGCUGACGGCGAGCCAAAAUAGGGUUGUAGUUAAUUCCACCACAUGUACCAAGAAGAGGAACAUUGGAGAAUUCACCACAAGAAUCAAUAAUCUGGAGAUUAUCAUACACAUGGUUAUACCAAGACAUAUCAUCAUUAGUGAGAGACAUAAGUCUCGUAGACCACUGUAGACAUCCCUUGUUCUCUUUGAAGGCAAGCGUCUGAGGCAAGUGCGAAAUAAAGCACUUGUACAACAGAGGCAAAUAACACACAAUGGUACCACCACCCUUUGCAUUUCUCAUAUGCAAAGAGAAAUAAGUGUCACCCAACAGAGUCAGAACGGGAUUAAGAGUAGAGAAAAUCCUAAUAGCGUUCAUAUCCACAAAAUUGUCGAUGUUGCGGAAUAACACUAGCCCAUAGAUGAGAAGUACAAAUAUGGCUUCAAAGGUGUCCUCACUCAUGGCCUUCCCAAACAAAUUAGCUUGGGCAAUGAGAAAAUCAGAUGGGAGACCUUGAAUUCCACCUUUGGUAGUCAUAUGAGCACCAAUAUCAGAUACAUCUAUAUGAAGCAGAUCAACAAUCUCUUGGGAAGAAGGAACCCUCUCCAAGCCACUGAGCGACAACUGAUCUAGAAUAGGUAUACCCACAAUAUAGACAUACUCCUCAAGUGUAGGCAAAGCUGGAAAUCCGGGAAAGUGAAGCAACGAUACAAAGGAUCAUAGAACUGCACCAACACACUCAUCAGACCUUCAUCCACCUGAGUAGCAAGAAUAGACAGAAGCUUCCCAUGACGAGCUUUGAAUUCCAAGGGAUCUAAUAUAUAAGACGUCAAACUCCUUAACUCUUUCAAGUCGGGUUGUCUGAAACUGUACUUCUUCGUAUUCCUUCUUUGCUUAUCCAUGUCUGAAAAUUUGCAAAUAGACCUCUUAAGUUCCUUGAAAAUUUUCUCAUCGUUGAUGAUAUGAAUGCAAAUGAAUGCAUGGAUGCAACAAUCACACUCAAGGAUCAAGCAAGUCACACCAUACAAAGGUCACGGGAUGGCUCAAGUUAUCCUCAAUAUCAAUCAUCCAUUUUGGUGGAUUAUGGUUUACACCUUAUCAACACCCAAGUUCCAUUGAUAUUGAGGAUAUACGAGAAUGGAUCAACCGCGAAUCAAGGGUUUGUUGUAAGUCACGAACAUGGAGUCUCGGUUAAGAACCACCCAAAGGGAGUGUACUAUGGUUAAACCUGAUGAUCAUGUUCUAAAAGAGGCUCCCAUAGUCAUCAUCCCAUCUUUUGGAUAUUAUCGGAUAAAACGACUACUCGUAUUCCAAAAAUAUUCUCAAGAGAGACUCUUAUGAGUGUAGUAUCGCGUAACAAUCGUAUCAAAUCUUACACUUGAACGACCUUCGCACUAUCCUAAAAUAGGCCAAGAUGGGCUAGGUAAUCUAAGUCCCUUGGUUUCUAAGGUUUAUAUGGAAAGAGUAAUGCCUAACACGACUACUCGUGUGACAUUAAUUUGAUCCCAACAAGACCUCCACCAAGUGAAUGGGCUUGUAAGUCAACUUGCUAAGGAAUAACUCCACACAAGUCAACAAGACUAUGCCAUUCUCCUAUCAUAAGUGCACUCGAGUUCGGGUAAAGAACUCAUCUCACAAGAAACCACCAAGCAUACAAGCAAGUAAUAUAUCAAGCAAUUCAUACAUUACAAUCAAUACAAUCAUCCCAAAUUUGCACAAAAAUAUGUCACAAAUAAAGAUAAACAUACAACACAUACAAGUAAAAAGUAGGCUAAACCCACUAGGAAGCAACAUAUUCCCCAGCAGAGUCGCCACUUUUCUGUAGCGGGGCAUUCAUUACCUUUAGAUUUAUUGAUUAAAUCAAAAGUAAACAUACAAUUCGAGUCACCACCAUUUAUCCAAAGAAAAGGUUAGAAAGUGAACAAAAACCAAGUAAGAAAUUUUAUCAAAUCAAAAACUAAUAAAAAUGUCAGAGAUCUGGGUAAGGGGGUUGGUUAUGAAAUGGGAAGGUUUUAAGCACCCAAAACAUCCUUAGUACUCUAAGGGAUCCCUUUUUGCAAAUGUGCGUUGUAGGUUGGUAUUUGUGAAAAGAUUUGUGCAAACAAGAUUGGAGGGAUGAGAAGAGAAUAUACAUUAUAUUUACAAUUUUGUUGUUUGAAUGGAUGAACCCAUUGCCUACGUACCAUCACAAAGGUAGGAUCAAAACCUCGUAGUUCAGGGUAAAAAUCUCAAAAGAUUGGUGAAUUGAUUUGAUCAAAAGCCUUAAGGUCUUUUGUUAUCAAAGGGAGAAAACUCAACCUAAACCAAUUGAUUUGAUCAAAAGCCUUAAGGUCUUUUGUUAUCAAAGGGAGAAAACUCAACCUAAACCAACAAUCCACCAUGUGAGGAGAGCUUCAACAUACUAGUGAGGGGUUAACCCUAUAAUAAGUAUGGAGGACUUAUAGUCCAAUCACUAAGGAUAAGGUGAGGUUUACAUCAACCACUAUGAUAACUCAAACCUAUGGCUAAUAUUUAUGAAAAACGUUUUAACAAAGGUGGCCAUUGGAUCCACAAAAACAACUUGAAGUGAGUUGUAUUUACAAAUUAGAAGUAUUCACAAAAUUAAGUCAAAGUUGACUUAAGGUUCAUUCAUAAUGAGUAUUAAUGAAAAGAGUUUGAAAAAUCAAAGGCAUAAGGCCUAGGUUUCUAGUUUGAAAAUAAUGUCAAAGUUUGCACAAAAUGAGUUUGGCUUGGGUUAGAGUGGAGAGAAGAAGAGAAGGGCUAGCCCUAAAGCAUACAAAGAUGAGAGAAGAGAUAAAACCCUUGGAGUUCCUUUUCUUGAGAUCAUAAAGAUGAUUCAAGAUGCUCCUUUCCUUUGGACUUAGCAAGCAACAAGCAAUCAAAAUAAAUUUACAUUCAAGCUCCUAGGAUCUCUAAUUGGCUUGUCUCUAAUAACUUGGCUACUCAUGACAAUGGUACUUCUUACUAUCUCAAGAUGGAAUCUCUAUCACACAAGAACAAACAAUCAAAAAGUUCACAACACAAUAAGAGGAAUGAACAAAGAAUGAGUUUAGAUUAGGGGUCCUUUGAUGUCAACUUUAAGAUUUAGCAUUCUAAAGGCAUGAGGCCUAGUUGCUCUUCAACAAGUUUAGCAUUCUAAAGGCAUGAGGACUAGUUGCUCUUGAACUCCUUUAAGCAUAGGUAAGGUCCUAAUUCUAAGUCAUUUCUCCUUUUUGCAUUGGGUUCACACAAACAAAGAUAAAACAAACACAAAGCAAUAAUAUAUUUAUAUACAAUAAUGAGCUCAAAUGAGCAAAAGGAAAAUGACAUGAACAUAAAAUAUGAGCUCAAGUGAGCAAAGUAAAAAGCAAUAUGAAUAAAUGAGCAAGAAAUAAAGUACAUUAAAGUAAAUUGCAAGAAAUUAAAUGCUUGAAUUAAAGUUAGUAGUUAAUGGUUAUGCUAGUGUGUCAUAAGACAAUUUAGCGCUAUGUUAAGCAAUCGUAAGUGGACUAGUGUAGUAGUCACACCUAUCUGAGGUCGGUCAAUAAAACUAUAGGCAAAUAAACACAAGUUAGAGAUCAUGACUAGUAAGCCAAGAUCCCACAACUUGCCAUGCCAAAAGAAAAGAGGAAAGGCCUUGUAUGGAUUUUAGGUUUUUUGCUUGACCAAGAAGCAACCUAUCUUGGACACAAAGCAACUCACUUGAUCUUUGAUCAAGUUGAUUUUGAUUUGGAUAAAAGAAGGUUAAGCCUCUCAUAUGUCAAGACCAACCACAAAUCAUUAACUCAUUGGCAAAAAUAAAAAGAAGAAGAUGAAGAUGAAAUGAAAUGGAUAAAAGGAGAAUUCAAAUGAAGUAAUCAAAACACAAUGAUCAAAUCUAAAUCAAAUCAUCAUCAACCAAUGUAAAACAGAAGAGAAAUGAAUAUUAGAAGUCAACAAAGUCAAACAUAUUUUUUGGUAUUUUUGAAAUUAAAAUAAGUGCAAAAUUAAAAUGGACAAAAUAUGGUCAAACCUCAAAUUCAAUUCAAAUCAACUUCAACAAGUCCAAUUGAAUCAUCAUAGGUCUAACAUGGUCAAACAAGGUUUGACAAAUUUUCUCAACAAUUUUUGAAAACAGAAACUAUUUAAAAUCAAUUAAAAACAAUAAAAUAUAACACAAAUGAAUUAAAAUUUCAAAUCAAUUAAGAAAUUGAUGAAAAUAUUUUUCAUAGACUUAUCAUCAUCCAUAUGUGUUAAGAAAAUAUUUUUUGGAAUUUUUAGAUAUCAAAAAGUAUUUAAAAUGAAUUAAAAACUAUUAAAAACAAAAUAAUUCACAAAAAAUAUUAAAUGAAGUCACAAAAAUAAUUAAAAAUCAGAUUAUGAAACUAGAUUUUUCAAGAUUUUUUUAUAUUUAAAAUGAAUUAAAAACUAUUAAAAACAAAAUAAUUCACAAAAAAUAUUAAAUGAAGUCACAAAAAUAAUUAAAAAUCAGAUUAUGAAACUAGAUUUUUCAAGAUUUUUUUUGCCAUUGGUCUUAUAUUUUUGUGACUUCAAAUAAAAUAGUUAUGAAUUUUUGAAAAUAAAUGGAAUUAAAAGAAAACAAAACAGAAAAUAGAAAAUAGGAGAAAACCAGGAGCGCUGGAUUGGAUUCAUUAAAUGACGUGGCUGUAUCCAAAGGCUCAGAAGCGCGUUCCCACCAUGGUCUCAAGUCAAGCGCGAAACAUAAGCAUUUGAAAUAAGUCAACAAAACGCAUGUCUGAGAUUAGAACGUUUCCACAAGAUCUGAUGGACACAAGGCAUCCACGUGGGGAUGGUGGUGGAAACCAACAUCUUUUUCGGCCAGCAAACUGUUGGUGUAAGCCCUAGAGGCCAAUACUUUUGGUACUUGUAUCGAAUUAUUGAUUAAUAAUAAAAGGCUUUUUCUUUAUUACGUUUGUUUAAUAAAGUCCCUAGAAUAGCCAAUCUGUUUAAUGUAUAAAGUAUGACUUAAUCAUGAGAUCACAUUAAACAUAAGGACACUAUUCUUAAAGCAUCCGCAGUCGAGCUUUAUUGUGAAGUGGGAUACCAUUAAAGCAUUAAGACUAUUGUCGCACCUCGAAAAAAAUAGGGAUACGACUUCAAAGCGAAGCGCGAUCGCACGCUCGCAAUGAUGGACUGAACAGAGUCGCCACCGAACUUUAUUUAUUCCUAAAAAGGAAAGGGGAAAUAUCGUUAAACCCAGGGACAAAAGAAGGAUAAGAUAUGGUCAUUCGCAACCGAAUAUCAGGGUUCGGAGUGAUUCAACGCAGGGGAAGGUAUAGCACCCCUCCACGUCCGUUUGUACUCAACGGGAACCAUUAGGUCAGUUGUGUGCGUUAAUGUUAGUUUUGAAAUGUUAAGGCUUUUCGAAUUAUUAGGUGGGGAAAGAAAGAAUAAAAGAAGGAAAUGUUUUUGGAUUUUGACGAUGGAGGACUAAACCUAAGUUUUUUAUUAGUGGGCCUGACAAGAUUUAAAAUCAACUGCUCCUACGUAUCUCAAAAGAGAAAUCAAGGCGUUACGUAGUUCUGGGUAGAAAAAAUACUUUGUUUGUUGGACGAUUAAUAGCGAAAGCUAUACUGUAUUAAUCGACAAAACAUUGUUUUACCCAAAACAGAUGAGGAGUGGACGCAUACCACACAUCGAAACGAGAUUUAUAUAAAUCUACAUUCGGAAAAAGCGUCAUUUAUCUCUACUCACAAUCGUGGCCGAAAAUUGUUUAUAUCACUUAAGACACAUAUAUCUUUCAUCUUUAUGAAAAGGUCUCUUUGAUUGGUCCGCACUCCGGUGGCGAAAAAAAGAGGUUUUUGAUUGGUGUUGGAUGUAUAUUUGAAUGAUGGCGAGAACUUGGAUGAGCGAGAUUAUACAUUGCUCGAAUCCUAGCCUCAGGAGUGCAUGGUAUACACCAUGUUCCAUUUCCAUCUUUUUGAAAAGAGUUAAAGAUAGGAUUUAAUAUUUUUGGAUUUUUGUGACUCCUGCUGGGAGAAAUGAACGCUGAAUGGUAUAACUUUUGAACCUGCUCUGAAGAUUUUUUCUCUGUUUGUUCAAAUACCAUUCAGGUGCAUGUAUGAACCGCUGUUGUUGAACCUUAUUCCGGUGUCAGGUCAUACAUGAACCUGUUCGAAUAGAGUUUUUUCUCCAUGAUCUAUUCCCCAGGCGUUGUCAGGUCAAUAUGUGGAAACUGGUUGUAGCCAUCUUUUCCUUGUUCGGGUAGUAAAGUCAUAUGUGAACUUACUACCGAAACUCUUGUAAAUCCAGUAUCGAUAUAAAUCAAAUCUCAAUUUUGAUACUGCCCCAGUGUGUGCCUGAUUCUCCGCAGCAGGACUGUCUCGCCAGCCAGAGUCUCCAUCUGUCGGCACCUCGAAAAAAUAGGGAUACGUACUUCAAAGCGAAGCGCGAUCGCCACGCUUCCGCAAAUGAUGGACUGAAUCAGAAGUCGCCACGAACUUUAUUUAUUCUAAAAAGGAAAGGGGAAAUAUCGAUAAAACCCAGGACAAAAGAAAGGAUAGGAUAUGCGUCAUCGCAACAAUAUGCAGGGUUCGGGAGUCGAUUUACGCAAGGGGAAGGUAUUAGCACCGCCUCACGUCCGUUUGUUGCUCAACGGGAACCAUUAGGUCAGUUGUGUGCGUUAAUGUUAGUUUUGAAAUGUUAGGCUUUUUCGAAUUAAUUAGGUGGAAAGAAAGAAUAAAUCAGAAAGGAAAAUGGUUUUUGGAUUUUUGACGAAGGACUAAACCUCAGUUUUUUAUUAGUGGGCCUGACAAGAUUUUACAAAUCCUGCUCUAACGUAUCUCAAAAGAGAAAUCACCAGUGCUUACGUAGUUCUGGGUAGAAAAUGUUGUUUGUUUGGUCGCAUUAUAGCGAAAGCUAUACUGUAUUAAUCGAUAUAAACAUUGUUUUACCCAAAACAGAUGAGGGAGGGAGCAUACUCGGUACACAUCGAACGGAUUUAUAAAUCUACAUCGCAAAAGCGUCAUUUAUCUCUCCUCAACACAUCGUGGCCGAAACAUGUUUUAUAUCACUUUAAGACAAAUAUAAUCUUUCAUUUAUGAAAAGGUUCUUUGAAUUGGCGCACGGCGGCGAAAAAAGAGUUUGAUUGGUUGGAUGUAUUUUGAAUGAUGGCGAGAACUUGGAUUGAGCGAAGAUAUACAUCUCGAAAUCCUAGCUCAGGAGUGCAUGGUAUACACCAAUGUUUCGCAUUUCCAUCUUUAUUGAAGAGUUAGAUAGGAAUAAGUAUUUUGGAUUUUGAUUGAGAAAGGGUUUGCAGAAAACCGCAUUGACAAAUAUUUAGACGAUGGCGAGCCGUUAAGAAUUGGCGAGGCAUACGUCUCGAAUCUUAACCCUCAGGAGUGCAUGGUAUACACCUGGUUCCAUUUCCAACUUUAUUGGAAAAAGUGUUUAAUAAGAAAUUAUGAUCUUGAGUUUUGUUGUGAGAGAGUAGACUUGACCUAGAAUCAAUUAUUGAUGGAGUUUGAGAAUUUUGAAUGAGUGUCUCGAGAGACAAAGUGGAUAAUUUUGGAAUGAUUGGCGAGAGCUAGGCAUUUGGCGAGAUAUACAUCUCGAAUCCAUAGUCUCAGGAGUGCGUGGUAUACACCAACGUAUCACUUCCAUCUUUAUUGAAAAGGUCGUUAAUUAUGAAUUAAAUAUUUUUUUGAGUUUUAUUAUAAAAAAUGCUUUGACCGUUGGAUCAAGCUUUGACUGAGGAGUUUGAAAGAAAUGGAGUAGAAGGAGGAAUGAGUUGAUUUGUUUUGUUGCGAAAAUCCACUCGACGUUUGGAUCGAGUCAUAUUUUUUUGGUAUUUUCCUAGAAAUGGUGAUUUUAAUCUUGUGUUAGUAUCUAGCUAAAUAGUCAAAGCAAUAAAGAAUGAAAUAGUACAAGAUUAUUACACAUCGGAGGAGUGGGUACAUUUUUGUCAAAUGGGGAUUUAAAAAAUCAUGAAUAAUUAAAUCGGGUCCAAACAACAAAAUACAUGCAAAAGUAUGAGUGUAAGUGCGGCAAGAGAACCGGCUCAAUUGUACAGAAAGCCCAAGAGUAAGCCUUAUGUGAGGUUGAUGGCGAGCUUAAAAAGCAAUCGACUUACAAGGGUGUGAAAAAUGGGCUCGAUAUUAAAUCGAGAAAAGAAGUUGAUUUUUAUAGUUUUAAAAUGGUUUUUGCCAUGCAUGAUGGAUUUUUAAUAAAACCCAUGGACAUAAGAAACUAUUUAAAAGAAACAAAAUGCUAAAAGACAAUAAACCCACAAAAAAAUAAAAUGGCUGAAAGAAAAUGAAUACUAAAAGAAAAAAGAAUACUAAAGAAGGUGCUACAUAACGGUAUCGAACCCAUCUCCUCUUGAGACUAUGGAACUACCCUUCCUUUCCUUCCACUAGGCUAUUUUAUCAUUAGUUGUUAUCGUUAAUUGCUAUUUUAGAGAUAUAAACCAAGAUGAGUUAAAAAUACCUGAAAUGGUAUUUGAACAAAACAGAGAGGGUAGUUCCAUACACAUUCAGGUCAUAUCUUAACUCUAUCUUAACUCUUUCCCUAUUUGGGCCAAUAUCUUAACUCCUAUCUGAACCUGUUCUGUGAACUUGUUGUUUGCGCUUUAUUUCCAGGGGUCCGGUCAUACUUGAAAACUCUGCUCUGAAGAGUUUUUUUCUCCAAUUUUUCGUUCAUACUAAUUCACGGUCAUGUAUGAACCUGUUUUGUUGAGCUUUUUAUUCGCGGGGUCCGGUCAUCACUUGAACCUGCUCUGAAGAGUUUUUUCCAAUUUUUGUUCAAUACUAUUCAGGUCAUGUAUGAACCUGUUGUUGAAGCUUUUAUUCCGGGGUCCCGGUCCAAUACUUGAACUGCUCUGAAGAGUUUUUCCAGUUUUGUUCACAUACUAUUAGGUCAUCUCUGAAAUUGUGCGUUGAACUUCUAUUCCGGUGUCAGUCAUACUUGAACCUGUUCUGAGAUUCUUUCCUAUUUGUUCAAUACCAUUCAGCGUCAUGUAUGGACCUGUUGUUGACGCCUUAUUCCCGGUGUCAGGUCAUAACUUUGAAACUGCUCUGAAGAUUUUUUCUCUGUUUGUUCAAUACAAUUCAGGUCAUGAUGAACCUGUUGGUUUGACCCUUUAUUGCCGGUUGGUCAGGUUCCAUACUUGAACCUGCUCUUGAAGAUUUUUUUCUCUGUUUGUUCAAUACCAUUCAGGUCAUGUAAAUGAACGCUGUUGUUGAAACCCUUAUUUCGGUGUCAGGUCAUACAUGAACCUGUUCUUGAAGAGUUUUUCUUCCAAUGAUUAUUCCCCAGCGUUGUCAGGUUCAUUGUGAACUGGUUUGUAGCAUCUUUUCCUUGAUUCGGGUUAGUAAGUCAUAUGUGAACUUACUAACCGAAACCUCUUGUAUCCCAAGUAUCGAUUAAUCAAUCUCAUUUUUGAUUACUCCCCAGUGUGUGCCUGAUUCUCCAGCAGGAACUGUCUCCCCAGCAGAGUCGCCAAUCUGUCGGCACCUCGAAAAAAAUAAGGGAUACGACUUCAAAGCGAAGCGCGAUCGACGCUCGCCAAUGAUGACUGAACAGAGUCGGCCACCGACUUUAUUUAUUCCUAAAAAGGAAAGGGGAAAUAUCGAUAAAAGCCCAGGACAAAGAAAGGAUAAGAUAUGUCAUCGUAACCAAUAUAGCGCGUUCGGGAGUCGAUUACGCAAGGGGAAGGUAUUAACCCAAUUCCAAAAUACCUCCAACCAAUCAAACCUUUUUUUUCGCCGCCGUGGCGCCAAUCAAAGAACCUUUUUUCAAUAAAUGAAAGAUAUAUUGUCUUAACGUUGAUAUAAAACAGAAUGUUUCGGCCACGAUUGUUUGAGUAGAGAUAAAUGACGGCUUUUCGCGAAUGGUAGAUUUUAAUAAAUCCGUUCGAUGUGUUGGUAUCGUCGCAGUCCUCAUCUGUUUUGGGUAAAACAAUGUUUUAGUCGAUUAAUACAGUUAUAGCUUUCGCUAUAUCGUACCAACAACAAAUCUUUUUCUACCCAGAACUACGUAAGCCUUGAUUCUUUCUUUGAGAUACGUUAGGAGCAGGAUUUUGUAAUCUUGUCAGGCCCACUAAUAAAACUUAGGUUAGUCCUCGUCAAAAUCCAAAACACAUUUGCUCCUAUCUUUAUUCUUUCUAUGUCCCCACUAAUAAUUCGAAAAGCCUAAACAUUUUCAAACGUAACAUUAAGCACACAACUGACGCUAAUGGUUCCGUGAGUACAACGGACGUGAGGGGUGCUAAUACCUUCCCGCUUGCGUAACUCGACUCCCGAACCCUGAUAUUGGUUGCGAUGACAUAUCUUAUCCUUUCUUUGUGUCCUGGGGUUUUAAUCGAUAUUUCCCUUCCUUUUUAGGAAUAAAAUAAAGUUCGGUGGCGACUCUGCUUUCAGUCCAUUCAUUGGCGACGCGUGCGGAUCGCGCUUCGUUUGAGUCGUUAUCCCGCAUUUUUCGAGGUGCGCCAACUAUUAUGUCCAUAUAGACUGAUGAUCACAUCUCAUGGAUCAUGGCCUAAGCGCAGUUAUCAAGUCUUAAACAUCAGGUAUGAAAUUAAGAGUAAUAUUCUAUACUGGAUUGACCCGCUACUGAGAAUACUAUAUCGAAAGUUUUAUGCACAAGUGUCAUCAAGUUAUUGCUGAACUUGGACCCUAGAUGUAGAGUCGAGUGCUUUAAUUUGCUGAUCAAACGUGUUCGUAACUAGAUACCAUAAAAGACAGUUGAAUGGGUACUCCACGAAGGCAUGCUCGAGGGACAUGAGUGACCUAGGAUCGGAAUUUUUCGCGGCAUCGCCUGCGUAACAGGGUAAAUGUCUAUGGACCCAUAUUGACUUGACAAGGAUGCCGGUCUUAUGCUGGUGUUCAAUAUAGACAUAAGGGCCAAAACUGGUAAUUAUGCACAAAGUACCUUAUUCACAUAAGGAAUUUGUCAGAUCACAUGAACAUUUUCGUGUCUUUGGGUUAGGCAGUGACCUGUGUGUAGCAUACCGUCACUGUUUAUUAUGUUAACAUCGUGAUUUAAUAUAAUUGCCAACGUCGGCGAAAACCUAACCAGGGUCGGCACACAAAGGACGGAUUGAUGAGAACUAGACGUAACUAAUUAACACCGUAAGGUACGGUGCACUUAAGUGAAAUUAUAGAACAUCGUAAGCGGUGGCUAGGCUUAAGUAGAAAUCCAAAUAUGGUAAGGUACCACGCGCUUAAGUGAUUUUGGGCAUAUUAUAAGAUAUGGGCCAAAAUACACUUAAGUGGGCUUUUUAGCUUGAAGCCCACACAAGUGGUUCUAUAAAUAAAACCCUUGUGCAGAAGCAUUCAUUGCGGUUGCAUUAUUUUCGUUUUUCUUUCUCUCUCUCUCUCUCUCUCUCUCUCACUCAAAGCCUUCAUUCGUACCAGCUAGCACUGAGAUUGAAGGAAUCUGUUCGUGUGGACUGAGUAGAGACGUUGUCAUCGUUCAAUAUUCGUGAUCGCUCCGUGAAUAUGCAUCAAAGGUUUUGAUCGUCACAAGAGAUCUACACCAAAGGUUUCAAUCGUCACAAGAGGUAAAUAUUCUAUCACUGAUCAUGACCAUUCGUAAGGAUCUCUAAAGGAGAAAAUUUUAAUUUCCUCUGCAUUUUGGAUCGCAAUUCUCCUUCAGUGGUAUCAGAGCCACUUAUGAAACCAUGAAUCGGGUAGCUGUUUAUUUUCUGUAUUAAUAUGAUUAAAAGACAGAAUGAAUCAAUUAAUUAAACGGGUAAUUAAAUUUGGCAUCAUGAGUGUACGAGUUGGAUGAUUGAUGUUGACUAUGCUUCGGAAGCGACAUUAGUAUGGUGAAGCAGCGAUACGUCGGUCGUCCAUAGGUUACGCAAUUGAGACCUAUCAACUUAUAUAUGAUAUAAGUAAUCCUAAUGCAAAGUACGAUAUAUAUGAUAUACUGUUUCUGUUUCGUUCAUUCAAACACUAAAUGGUUGUUUUCCUUUGAGCGAUCAAUAAUCAUUUGCUUCGGAAUCCGACAUCAGUAUGGUGAAGCAAUGACCUGUUGAUCAAUCAUACUGAAUCAACAAUCGAGGUGUGUUUGACGGUCUGAAAUUGGCAUAUUAGGGUUGGUGACGGCGCAAGGGUUGUGCCGUCAAGGAGUUGUGAAUUGAGGGCUUGUUGGAACACGUCUGUUGACUGUUUCAAAGCGCUGGUUUUUGGCCUCGUGACGAUUGUCAUGGACCUGUGACGAUCGUAACAAGCUGGACGUGACGGUCGUCACAUGCUUUGUGAUGGUCGUCACAUUCACAGAUCCAAAAUUCUAGGCGUUUCUGUUAUUUUGGCCGCGUGACGUUCGUCAUGGGCCUGUGACGGUCGUAACAAGCUGGGCGUGACGCUCGUCAUGGGCUUUGUAACGGUCGUCACCUUCACAGAGUCCGAAUUCUUGGGGUUUUCUGUUUUGUGACUGCACAAGAGUUGUGUUGAUACAAAACGACGUCGAUUUCAAAUGAAUUGUUCAUUAAAAUUUAGGAAAAGGACAAUGCCCCCUUGACCCCCGUCCACUGAUUGGUCAGCAGAACCACCAUUCGCUGACCGGGCAGCGGAACCCCGACUAACUCUGCGUAGUGUGAUCGGUCGCCUAAAUUUAAUUUGGUUUUAAUUAAUUAAAAGAAUUAAGAUUAAUAAUAAUAAUAAUGUGUUUGUUAUUAUUGCCUUGUGGUGAUCAGUUAUGGCCUUAGUUAUCCUUUAUUUUGUUUUGGGUUUUAAAUACGACCUGCGUGUCGUGCCUAUCCUUUUAAUCUCUUAAUGUAACUUCUUUUCUCAUCUCAAUCCCUCGUAUGUAAAACGAGUUUCUUCUGUAAUGUAAUGUUAUGAAGAAAGAGAAGAAGACAAUGUUAUAAAGAAAAAGAAGAUUUCAAUAUCAAAGGAGGAAACCCUUGAAGAUCAAAGGAGGACAGACUUGAAGAUCUUGCUUGGAGAAGCUUAGAUCGUUAUUAGGUUAGCUUAGGUUCUCUCAUUGGCUUGGGAGAACAAUUGCGUUAGGGGCCAUAACUGUUUCAUUUUGUAUGUUGAUGCAUGUGAAUGUAUGUUGAUGCAUGUGAAUGUAUGUUGAUGCAUGUGAAUGUAUGUUGAUGUAUGUGAGAGACGAUUUAUAUGAUAAAUAACCGGUGAGAUCAGAAUAAUUGCAAUUCCCUCAAAAUUAAAUAUUAAGUUUAUGCUUUCCAAGUUUUAGCACUCAUCAAGACUAGUAUCGGAUAAUGUAGGUUUCGCCUACGCGAGGUGCAUGUUCUAUAUUAGUAAGGUGCGAUGGGAUAAUUGUAAUAUCCAUCUGCUAAAACAAUGGGUCAAACUUAACUAAACAAAUUAUAAUAAUAUUAUAUAUGUUUGCUUUCCAAGUUUUAGCACUCAUCAAGACUAGUAUCGGAUAAUGUAGGUUUCGCCUACGCGAGGUGCAUGUUCUAUAUUAGUAAGGUGCGAUGGGAUAAUUGUAAUAUCCAACCGCUAAGACAAUGGGUCAAACUUAACUAAUUAAAAUAAUAUUAUAUAUGUUUAGAAGCAAGAGUUGGGAAUGAUCCAGAUGAUGGAUUGGAAUAAGGAGUUAUUCACCCAACUGAAAUUUUUGAGAGUUGUAUGAGAUACAAUUGGAAGGAGUUCCUACCUAAAUAACCUAGUUUUGUGUAAUCCGCCUACGCAGACUUAGAACGAAGUGAAAUAUGGAUCUCGACCCACUAGAAAAUCUUCCAAUGGGAUUUUCCGAAUCAAAUGAUGAGGGUCAUUUGCUUUGAGUAAAAUAGUGGAAGCAUAUUUAAUUAAAGGAUUAAAUAUGUUAAUGAUACUUAUAUUUUCAUUAAUCUCAACAAACACCUUUAACAAUCAUUUUGCGAUCAAUCCUUGACAAAGAUAAAUUGUCUGGGACAAAUUUUCUGGAUUGGCAUCGAAACCUGAGGAUUGUCCUCAAACAUAAUAGAAAGUUGUAUGUCUUGGAGACACCUGUUCCUGAAGAGGAACCUCCUAGUUCUGCACCUAAGGCAGAAAGAGAUGCUUAUAAGAAGCAUGUCGAUGGAUGAUGCCAUGAAACUGCUUUGUCUCAUGCUGGAUUACCCAUGAACUUCAGAGUUGCAGAAGCAACCAUGAGAACAUGACAACGUUCGAUAUGUAUCGAACACUCUGAAGAAUGCUCUAUCAAGAAAAAAGCCAAGCCGGCAUGAAAGGUUUUGAAGUUUUCAAAAAGACCCUUUUUCAAGGCAAGUUGAGCUGAGGGAGCCCCUGUAGGUCCCUAUGUGCCUCAAGAAUGAUAGGGUAUAUGGAGAAACCUUGAUAGUUGGGGUUUUCCCUUCGAAAUGAACUUACGACUGAUUUGAUCUUGCAAUUUCUUGCCAUAUGGAUUUCGUCAAUUUGUCCUAAAUUUUAAAUAUGAAUGAUUUGGACAAUCGUUUCCUGAGUCUGCUAAGCCAUGUUAAGAAUGCUGAGCAGAAUCUGAAGAGCAAAAGGGAGUGCUAUUCUGAUGAUUCGGAAAUGGAAAAGAGACAGAACACAAAGACACCAAGCAGGUGCUAAAUGGAAAGGAAGGAAGUUGCCAAACCAGACCACUAUUGUGCUUUGAAGCCUAGUGGAGGCAUAGCAAAGGAAGACACCGUACUUCAUUGUCGGUAAGACCGGACACUGGAAGAAGAACUGCCAAAGUACUUGAAGAUGACAAGUCUCCAUCACAAUGGGUAGAAAGCGUGGAAAGAGCUAAUGAUCUUUUGGCCCUCAUGACAUAUUGAUGUAUGUGGACCACUGCAUACCAACAAGAGGGGUUUUUUAGUACUUCAUCACAUUUACUGGAUGAUUUCAGUAGACAUGGUUAUGUGUAUCUAAUGAAACUCAACUCGGAGUCCUUUGAAAAGUUCAAGAAUUCAGAUGAAGUACAAAACCAACUAGGUAAGAUAUUAAAACUCUUCUGAGUCAGAUCGAGGUGGUGGAGUAUUUAAGCCUAGAGUUUGAUGACCAUCUGAAAGAGUGUGGAUCCUAUCGCGCAACUUACUCCUCCUGGAACACCCCAAUGGAGAUGGUGUAUAUGAGAGAAGAAAUUCGAACCCUGUUGGACAUGUCCGAUCCAUUGAAUGAGUCACAGCGAUCUUUCAAACUCCUCUUUGGGGACUGCACUAUGGACAUCAAGCUUACAACCUUAACCGUGUUCAUCAAAAAGGUUGAGAAGACAACCUAUAAUGAGAUAUGGAGUGGUAAGAACCACAUAUGUCUACAUGAAGAUUUGGGGUUGCCGACGGGAGUUUAUGUGACACGACUAAAUUUCAACUAAGCUUGAGCCCAAAUCUGACAAAUGCUUUAUUUGUGGGGUAUCCUAAAGAACACAAGCGGUAUUAACUUCUACAAUCCUUCUGAGGCGCAACAGUUUUUGUCGCUUCGAACUGGAAGUUUUUCCUAGACAAAGGAUUUUUUUCAAAGGAAUCAGUGGGGAGGAAAGUAGAGCUUGAAGAAAUUCAGAAUCACAAAGCAUUGAUCACACCUAUGGAGAGAAUUAGAGAAGGAAACACAAGUAGUUGUGGAAGAACAACCUGCUCAAGUAAGAACAAGACCCCGUAUGGUCAGGGCAGGAUACGUCACCUACCUGAGAGAUAUGAAUAUCUCAUCACUGAUCAAUGGUGAUGUAAUUACUCGUGAUCCAGAAUGAGAUGAGCCUUGUGUCACAAGAAGGUUAGUGGGAGCAUGAUCGUUUUCCUGGUAUUAUAUGUAGAUGACAUAUUACUCAUCGAAACGAUGUCUACGCGCUGCAACAAGUUAAGUUCUUGGUUGUGGAAAUGCUUUUUCUAUGAAGGAUCCCUAGUGAAACAACUAUAUAUUAGGAAUCAGACUCUAUAGAGAUAGAUCAUAAGUGCUGAGACCGCUUUAAUAUGCAAUGAUUUCCAAUAGGUUUGUGUUUUUGCUUAAAAUGGGUGGGCGCUGUGAGCUGGGAAAAGUUGCAAAAGCAAGAUAGCAUUGCCUGAUUCUACAACCGGGCUGAGUAUAUUGCCGCUGCCUCAGUGGCGCAGCAAGAUAGCUGUUUUGGAUGCAAAAAAGUUAAUUAGUGAACUUGACAUAGUUUCAUCUAGCAUUUGUGGGAUCCCAUUGGUCUCUAUUAUGAUAACCAUGGUGGCCUAUUGCACAAGCUAAGGAUUCAUAGAUCUCACCAACGAUCCAAAAACUACUUAGGAGUUAUCAGCUCAUCUCGAGAGAUAAUAGAUAGAUAGGAGAUGCGAAAAUAUGCAGAGUACCUAACACUUGACAAUAUUGCUGACAUCCACUUGACAAAGCCUCUUACGCAGCAGAUAGCAUGUGGCCAUAAACUAGAUCUAUGGGUAUUCAGGGGUAUCCUGAUUGGCUGCCUUUCGUGCUAAUGGGAGAUUGUUCUGGUGUAAGCCCCUAGAAGCAUACUUUUGGUUUGUAUCGAAUUAUUUAUUAAUAAUAAAAGGUUUCUUUCUUAUUACCCGUUUGUUUAAUAAACGUCCUAGAAUAGACCAGUCUGUUUAAUGUCAAGUAUGCACGUUAAGUCAUGAGAUUCACAGUUAAACAUAGAGGCACUAUUCUUAAACAGUAUCAUAGUCGUGUUUAUUGUGAAGUGGGAUACAUUGAAAGCAUUAAGACUAUUAUGUUAUAUAGACUUGAUCGAUCACAUCUCAUGGAUAAUGGAUAAGGAGUUAUCAAAGUCUUACCAUAAGUAUGAAGAAUAGUAAGAGUAAUAUUUAUACUGAUUGACCCGCUAUGAGAAACUAAUAUAGAAAGUUAUCGCAAAGUGUCAUAAAGUCUUAUUUCUCAUGUGAUAAUGGUGUAUACCACUCUUGAUCUGAAACCACUAUGGACCCUAGCUGGUAGAGUCAAGUGCUUUACUUGCUGAUGCAAACCCUUGUCGUAACUGGAUAACGCAUAAGAGACGUUGAUGGUACUCCACGACGCAUGCCUGGAGCGGAAGCAUGAGUGACCUAAAUGGAAUUUUGCCAUGCUGCGUAACAGGAAUAAUGUCUAUGGGCAAUAUUGAACUGGACACAAGGAAUGAACAAUCCUAUGCUUGUGUUUCAUAUACGACAUAAUGGGCAAAAGGGUAAUUAUGCACAUAAGUAUUAUGAGAAAAAGGAUUUGUCCGAUUACAUGACAUUUUCGUGUCUUUGGGCUACAGUGAUGUGUUGCUAGAUACUGCUCACUAUUUAUUAUGUUAAAUGGUGAUUUAUAUAAUUUGCAACGUCGCGAAACCUACCAGGGUCACACACAAAGGACAGAUUGAUGAGAGAUAGAGUAACUAAGGAACACGUAAGGUAGCGGUGCACUUCGUGAAAUAUAGAACACUCGUUAAGGUUAUGGUGUUACUAUAAGUAGACUACGAAAUAUGGUAAGGUACCCCGCACUUAAGUGAUUUUGGCAUAUUAUAAGAUAUGUGGCCAAACAUACACUUAAGUGGCUUUUUAGCUUGAGCCCACACAAGUGGUUCUAUAAAUAAAACCCUUGUGCAGAAGCAUUCAUUGCGGUUGCAUUUUAUAUUUUCAUUUUUCUUUCUCUCUUCUCUCUCUGCUCUCUCACAUCAUAAAGCCUUCAUUCGUAAGUAGCAACUGAGAUUGAGGAAUCCGGUCGUGUGGAUUGAGUAGAGACGUUGUCAAUCAUUCAACGUUCGUUAUCGCUCCGUGAAUCUAAAUCUAAAGGUUUUUGAUUGUCACAAGAGAUCUGGCACAAGGUUUCAAAUCGUCACAAGAGGGUAAAUAUUCUAUCAUGGAUCAUGACCAUUCGUAAGGAUUCUCUAAAGGGAAAAUUUUAAUUUCCGGCUGCGUUUGGAUCGGCAAUUCUGCCUUCACAAACACUUCCGCCGAACGACGCGCAGGAUUUUGAACCCUCCACCAAAAUAAACAAACGUGGUACCAAAAUGCAGCCAGGGUGAUGUACAUCACCCCUGUCAACCUUGGAUUCGUGCUCAAAGUCUCUAUGUGAUGAGACAUCUUUGAGGUUGAAAAAUCAAGGUAUCGCAAAUUGAAUGCUUCAAAUCUGAAAUCAAGACGCACCACUGGCUGCCUCUUGGCUGAGGACUUCAAAAACAAUUUAAAUACAAGCAAUUCACAUAUGGAGGCAAGCCUUUAGAUCAAAACAGUUUGGUGUUUACUUUUGAAAGAGCAACUUUGAUCGCAGGCACGAUUUCUUCAAACUUUUUGCUUCCAAUUUGCUCUUGAGAUGUGAUAUGAAUGCACAGGCUAAGGGAAUAAGACUUGAAGAUCACUGAUUGUGUUAAAAUUCAAGCUUGAAAUUUCAAAGAAAACAAAAUUGGAAUUUCCUUUGAGUGACAGGUUUAAGAUUUUGAUUUCGGCAGAGCUUUCCGAUACGACCUAAAGGUUGAAGAUUUGAUGAGGAGGAGCAUGUAUUUAGUUGCAGCUGAAAGCAGCAAGUGAAAUGCUCGUGUGCAUGAGAAUUGGGCUCUCCUGCAUGGGGCUGUACAAGCGCAUGUGAGGGCCCAAAAUUGGAUUGAAACUGCAAGCUGAUAUCAUUUGCAGAUGGUUUGGACGUGCAAGUUGGCUGGUUCAGCUUGUGCUUGAAGAAUCAAGUGAAUUGCACAUAAUUGAUGCAUAAUCUGUUAAGCCUUCGAAAAAUGCAGCACAUGGCAAGGUCCAAAGAUGGUGGUGUGAGUAAUGGUUGGAAAGAUUUUUGAGUAGGAAGACAAUAUAGUUUGGACAAAAAUCCAUUUUGGGCAGUUUGGAAAUUCGUAAAAAACUUGGCCUUGAAGUUUUGAAGUACAUAAAUGUCUAGGUUCCCUUUGAAAUUUUUUUUUCCAAAGUGACAACUUCAAAGGCCUUAUGUUUCAAUUAUUCAAGCCUCAAAUGGAAACACUUCAAUCAAAGUUGUUUAGCUAUUUUCAAGUUGAUCAAUUUAAGAAUUAAAUUUUUGCCAUGAUUUGAGAUUUUGAUGAGAAAGUUAUGGGCACUUGAAAGUGGAAACAUUUUUCAAAUUCAAUGGUUUUUGGUCCAAAGAGACCUAUAAUGUUUUCUGUAUUAAUCACAUGUGUCUUAUUUUAGGAUUAUGAAAUUUUUCCAACAUAUGAAUUUGAAUUAGACAUCUUAAUCUUUCCAAUGGCAAUAAUUAGUCUCACCUCAAAAUAUCAUAAAAUAAGGAAGUUAAGGAUUUUGGAAGUUGACCCAAAAUUAAGGGUUUAGUCAAAAUGAACCUAUAAUGUUUUUGAAAUGAAUAAAUGACCUUCCAAGUUUCAAAUGACUUUGUUUAUGAACAUGAAAGUUGUUUCAUUGGAAUGGUUCUUAGAACAAUUUGUUCUCUUGGGGUAUCUUGAUUUGACAAACAUAUCAAAGUUUGUGUCUCAGUGAAUCUCAGUUUGGUCAGAUGACUUGACUGUCAACUUGCUCAAGGCCAAACUUUAAAUCUUGAGAAUGAAUGAUUGAGGUAAUACUCACAUAAGCUCAUAUAUGCCAAUAAAAUAAUGAUGAAAGACUUCGCCUUAAUUUUUUAAUUUGGAUUAGGGUUGAGGGUUUCUUAUGAGCAAGGGCACAUCAAUGCACAGUUGAAUUAGGGUUUUCCUUGGGAAAUCAAUCCUCAAGCCUUUGGGUUUCUUGAUCAAAUUAACCACAAUUUAAGAAUACUUGGGAGGCAUAUAUAAUGAUUAGGAACAUUGUGGACGCUUUUCAUGCCUUUGUUUCUCAUCUUCAUCUUAGGGCCACAUUCAUUGGCAUAGGAGCGCUCUCUAGGAGCAAGGGAUUCAUGAAUUACUUGAGCUUCAAAACCAAAAAGAGUUUAGUGACAUAAUUUGUGCUUUUGUUAGUAGAAAAUAAGAAAGCAAUAUAUACCAUACAGAGCAUGGCUUGGUGGUCUCACACAACUCAACAAGUCCCAACCCUAGGGUUAAGGAGCCACACAUGCUAUGGAUCUUACGGCAAGAUGCAUUAAGCAAUGUUAUGAUGCAUGAGGGAUCUUAGGGUCAAAAUUAGGAUCUUCACAAGCGCUUAUCUAUUGCCUCGUUGAGAAGGAGUUGGGGCACUAUGUUCCUCAUUGAAAUAUGCUCCAGAAGCUUGUGGAAGAAGGUAACUGUUGAUCAAUGGGGGCCGCAUGGUAAGACGGUUGCCGACACCAAAGGCUUAGAACCAGUUUGGGGUUCUAGAAAGGUUCAUUAAUGUUAGAUAUGAAGAUUGCAACUUAGCUUUCCAUAGAGGAGGGUUCAUUCAUGGCAAUGAACACCACUUAGCAUGCUGUGCUAAGAGGAUGACCAAGAUGGAGACUGCAACGCAAUUUUGUGACGCAAUGGAAGGGCUUGGCAACAAUUGGACUGUGUUGAUAUUCCCUGUUAUUUUGCAUCGAUUUCUAAGUAAAUUGCUUUUAUAUGUUUUUAAAUCCUUCUUCUAAUUCCUAAGGGAAGAAAUGAACUUGUUUAGGCAUUUUUCAAAAUUGAUCAUUAAUAAAUAUUAAUUCUAUUCAUCGCACAUCUAUUGAUGUUAUUUUUACUUUUUUUUGCUUUAAUUCUGAAAAAUGGUAAACAAAACAUAAAUACAAUAAUAUACAUUGUCCCAUCUGGCAUAUAUUUUGGUACAAUUCACUUCUCUAAAAUCAAAUAUCAAAUCAAUUAUGCCAGGUUGAUUUCCUACCCGCAUUAGAAUAUAAUGAUCCUUCUCCUUCUCCAAAUUUUUUUGAAAUUCGCCUGUGUUUAAGACGGGAGGAAAGUUGAUGUAGAAGUGAGUGUGAAUUAUCUCGUCUUCUUUGAGCAAGAUGAAAGACCAAUUAGCCGUUCGAAGAACAGAUUGAGGCUAGUCAAUUGGGUUCCGAGGAUGAUGUGAAGAAAGUCAAGAUUGGGUUCGACUUGUGUCCCAGAGUGUUAAGAAGGGGUUGAUUGAUCUUUCCUUCGAGAGUAUUCAGCUGUGUUUGCUUGUCCUAUUAAGACAUGUCCUGGGGUUGGAUUCUGAGAUGGUGGACAUAGAUUGCCGUUGAAGCCAGAAUGCCCCUCAGUCAAGCAGAAGUUGAGAAGAAUCAUCCUGAUAUGGCCAUGAAGAUCCAAGAGGAAGUGCAAAAGAGAAGCUGCCGGUUUUCCUUGUUAACUGCUGAGCAUCCGGCAAUGGGUGGCAAAUUAUUGUGCCUGUUGCCGAGAAAGAGGAAAAGUCCCGCAUAUGCGUCGCACUCUAGAGAUUUGAAAUAAAGCCAGUCGAAAGAGAAUGAUUUCCUUGCACACAAUUGAUAUGUUGGUAGACAAUAAUUGCUAAAUUCAAAGUCUUUUCGUUAUGGAUGGAUUUUUCGGGAUAUAAUCAGAUCAACAUGGCACCCAAAGAAUGGAAAAAGACCUAUUCAUUACACUUGCGGAACAUUCUGUUUAUACUAAGUGAUGCCUUUCGUCUACCCAGAAUGCUGGUGCAAUUACCAGAGAAAGUAAUGAUACUCUUUUUUCCACUGAUAUGAUGCAAUUAAAGAGAUUGAAGUUUAUUGUCGAUGAAUGAUUGCUAAAUCCGAUCUGAUGACGAAGGAACAUGUUGAGACAUUUGUUGAAGUUAUUUCCAGCGUUUGAGGAAGUAUAAACUCAGCUUGAAUCCAAUAAGUGUACCUUUUGGUGUUCUUCUGGUAACGCUUGUUGGGCUUAUAUUCUCAACGAGAAGGGUAUUGAAGUUGAUCCUGCAAGGUCAAAGCAAUACAAGAAAUGUCUGCGCCCAACAACUGAGAAGCAAUCAGAGGUUUUCCUUCGACGCUUAAUUAUAAUUUCCAGAUUCAGUUUCCAGCUGAACUGCCACAAUGUGCGCCUAUAUUCAAGCCUUCUUCGGAAAGACCAGUCUUUGUGCUUGGGACCAAGACUGCCAAAAAACUUUUGACAGUAAUUAAUAGAAUAUUUUGUUGAACCUCCUAUUUUUGUCUCGCACUCGUUGAAGGAAGGCUGUUGAUCAUGUAUUUUUGCCUGUGUAUUAAGAUAGUAAUGGGUUGUUUGUUCUAGGGUCAGGCAAGAUGAGACUGAAAAAGAUAAGAAUUUGGCAAUUUCUACGUAGUAAAAAGUUCACGAGCGGCUGUGAACUCGUAUUGCUAUUGCUUGAGAAGACUUGUUGCGCAUUGGCUUGGGCUGUAAGCAUUUGCGCUCAGUUUUUCUAUGUUAAUAUACCACUUUGGUUGAAUAUCCAAAAUGGAUGCAAUCAAGUAUAUAUUUUGAAAGCCUGCUUUAACUGGGAAGGAUUUCGCGUUGGCAGAUGUUGUGUAUCAGAGUAUGAUAUCGAAUAUCGAUCUCAGAAAGCGAUCAAAGGUAGUAUCUUAAGCUGACAUUUGGCUCACCAACAUCUGAAGACUUCCAGUCAGUGCAAUUAUAAUUUCCUGAUUAAGAAGAUUUUGUAAGCUUGAAAAUGAAAGAUUGUGGAUGAACGCAUUGCUUGAAGAAAGGGCCAGAACCUGGUUCCCGUUGGGGCAACUGGAUUUGAUGGCAGCUGUUAAUCAAUAUGGAAAAUGGCAUUGGGGAAGUGAUUAUUAUCCUCAAGGCACGCAUCUACCAUUUACAACUAGAUUGAUUUCAAGUGUACAUUAACACGAGUGGCAAAUAUGAAGCUUGCAUUAUGGGGAGAUUGAGAGGCCAAAUCGAAUUCCUCAGAAUCAAGUAUUUAGAUGUCUUCGGUGAUUUGGCUUUGGUUGUGAAUCAACUCAAAGGAGAAUGGCGAGACGAAUCAAUCUGGAUUUAAAUAGCAUAUAGAGAUAUGCGAGGAGAAAUUUUCAAUUUUCUUUACAAAGGUGGAAAUUUUAUGAUAUCCCUUCGAGAUGGAAAACCGGAUGGAGAUGCUCUUGCAACGUUGGCAUCAAUGAUGUGUAGUGAAGUAUUGGAAUGAAGUUCCGCAAUUUUGCUCUUGUAAUGCGUCUUGAUAGGCCAACUCAUGUGUUUGUUGUGGAAGAGAUCAAAGAAUGAAAAGUCGUGGUAUUAAUAACAUCAAUGUUUCUCGCAAAGUCAGAUUUACCACCCGAGGCAAUCUUUGAAAGAUAAGCAGACUUAGAGAAGAUUAGCGGUAUUUCUACCUUGAUGGUGAUAUACUAUAACAAAGAAUCUUGCGACAUGGUUUUGGCUCAGAUGCGUGGAUAGACCGAAGCAGACUUGUGAUGACUCGAAGGUGCAUGAGGUUUCGCUUUGGUCACUCAUUCAAUGGAGCAUGCAAUUGGUGAAGAAGAAUGUUAGCGGAGCAUAUUAUAUUGGCCGACAAUGGAAUCUGACUGUUUGCAAGUUUUGUCGUAGAAAUGCCACAAGUGGUCACAUUUAAUGCUGAUAAGAUUCAUGUUUCUCUCUACAUAAUUAAUAUUAUUUUCCUUCCCCCAUGGCCUUUCUCCAUGUGGGCUAAUUGAUAGAUUGGAUGAUUGAACCUAAACUUCGAAUGACAUCGUUUAUUUUGGUGGCUAAUUGACUACUUCACAAAAUGGGUUGUAAGGCGGCAUCGUCAUGCAAACUGUUAAGCAAGUAAGUUGUUGUAAGGUUUAUCAAGAAUAAUUCUACUGCCGUUUAUGGUGUGCCAAGCAAGAUAAUUAUGAUAUGGAGAUGCAAAAUUGAAUAAAAUAAUGGGUGGAAGCUAUUUGCAAAGAGCUUCAAGAUUGCACAUCAAUACCAUUCUUCUCCUACAACAAGAUGAAUGGGGUUUGUUGAAGCUGCAAACAAGAAAUAAGAAAGAAUUAUUCAGAAUGAUGGUUGUCACAUACAAGGAUUGGCAUGAGAUGCUCCAUUUGCUUUGCCAUGGGUAUCGGUACAUUCUGUCCGCACUACAAAGGGGGAACCCCUUUAUCUGUUUGUUUAUGGGUAUGGAAGCAAUACUCCCUAUCAGAGGGUUGAGAUUCCUUCAUUAUGUUUGCCAUGGAAGCAAGUUGACUGAGGCUGAAUGGUGUGAGACCAGGUUUUGAUCAGCUGAAUUUGAUAGAAGAGAAAAGAUUGACUGCAUGGUGUCAUGCGUCAGUUUUGUAUCAGCAGAGGAUGAAGAAAGCUUUUGAUAAGAAGGCCCGACCUUCGUGUGUUCAGAGAAAGGUGACUCUUGUGCUGCAGAAGAUUUUAUGUUCAAACGUCGCAUAUUCUAGGGGAAAAUAGACUGCUAAUUAUGAAGGCCCAUCAUGUUGUUAAGAUAGCCUUUUCAGGGGGCGCAUUGAUACUUACAACUAUGGAUGGUGAAGAGUUACGUCGUCCUGUGAACGAGAUGCCAAUAGAAAUACUUCGCCUAAAAAGAAAAGAACAACUCGCUAAGUUGAAACCCGAAAGGGCGGGCUUAGGGCAAAAAUGAGUGUCUCGGUGGAUUGAAACUCGAAAGGGUGAUCCAGGCAAAAAUUAGAGACAUAAAAACAAAAAAAAAAUCCCGAUAAGUUGAGUACCCCACCUUGGGGCAACUUAUGCAAAAAUUAGGGAUCAUGGCAAGUAAUUGCAUUCUGCUCGAUUCUUCUAAGUUUUUUUUUUAACUUGGUUGAGCAUAAGGGUUGACGUCACAUUCAUCACCUAGUUAGCAGGUCAAAGAGCACAAUGGAUAUCAGAGUUGGUAGAGGAUUAAGGAUCAUUUUUAUUCAUUGUAACCCUUCUUUCCAUUGUUAAUUACAUUUUCACUUUGUAAAAAUUAUGGAGUCUUGUCAUUUUACAGGUACAUUCCUACAACUAAAGUUGAACUUUUAUCGCAAUUGUUUCUACUCUUAUUUUACUUUCAGCCAAUAGUUUUUAAAUUUUACUAUGAUCAUUUUGAAAAUUAUUUUUUUUUAAUCAAGAAUCAGUUUUUCUAAAUUAUAAAAGCAAGAAUUUUUUCAAAGCAAAUUAAAAGAAAUAUUAAAACAUUUAUGAUGGAUAGCAAGUCCUCAGUGGAAGCAUCGAAGGUUCUCUAAGUUAGUUAAUUUUUUGGGUAUCCUAGACAUUGGUGUUGAUUUUCCCAGUUUUCCUUGACGGAGGUAUUCUGAUCCGCCAGUGGAGCUUUGUUCCUUGUCCUCGAGCCGAGUUGGUUGAUUCAGAUACCUGCGGUGUGUUGUUGUCUCGACAGAGUUUUCUUUCUUCCCCGCGGAGUAUGUUGUUUCCUAGUAAGUGGUUGAUUUUUCAGGCAGAUACGAUUGAUUUUCCCCAGUAGAUUGCAUUGUUUCCCCCGCCGAUCGCCAGUCGCUUGGCUUCCUGUCAGAGUCUUCUCCUGGUUUCUGAGCAAGCUUUUGUUAGUUGAAUGUUCUCUGUAGGGUUGUCUCCCAUUUUUUUAUGGUGUUGAGCCUAAAAUUUCCCAUAUAUUUGAUGUUCUUUCUCAGCAGAUCUCUCUUUUCCUAGUUAGGGUUGAGCCUUUUUGGACUUUGUUGAUCUCUCUGUUCCUCAGCAGUUUUGUUCUCCAUUCUUUGUGAUUGACGAGGAUUUGUACCGAUGAUUCAUUUCUUCGCGACACCUUCGUAUCCUUGUGAUCGUGUUUUGUCACAUAAAAACAUAUAUAUAUACACUAGCAUUAUCGUACAUUUCAUACUUGCAUCAUUACCUUGAGAUUUUUAUUCUCUGUUAUGGUGGUACUUUAAUAUCCCAUACUGAAUUUCGAUGUUUGUUCCCUCAAUUGUAGAGUUGUCAGCUCCUUAGGCAGAAAGACUUUAACCUUUGUCCUUUUUUCCCACUGAGCUUGUUUUCCUAAGUGAUGAUUAUCAUUUCAGUUUUCCACCUAGCUUAAUUAUCUGGAUUGGAAUCAUCUCCCUUGGGUUUAAUCUCAAUGGGUUGAGUUUAUUUGCCCGUGUUCUUUCUAGCUUCUUACGCUAGAUAGAUGCUUUCGAGUCUCCUAAGAGUCUAUUGCCCAGUAACUGGUAAUGAUUGCUUCUUAUGAUUGCAGUUUAUUAUUUUUGCCCAAUACCGCCAAGAGUACCCUUGUUUUUUCCAACAGUGGAGUCCCUAGUGGACUUCAUUUAUCGUUUCCCAAAAAGUAUAUCCUUGAUAUGUUCAUCCUACCCGGUGACGGAUAUCUUUCUCUCCCCUACUUGAGUCUAUGCCUUGAUUAUGUUCAAUCCUAACGCGAUGCCAAAUAUUCUCUUCUUCGGUAUUCUAAGCCCCAGUAAAAAGGUAAGUUUGUAAUCCCUAUUUUUGUUCCCCAGAGAAGUUAAUCCUUGGAUAUUUGUUAUCUAACCGAUAAUGUUUCUUUCUCUUUGCGGUCUUCUACGCCUAGUAACGGUAGUUGUAAAUCGUCGCUUUUUUGUUUCCCGUCGGCGAGUUGAUCCUUGAUAUGCUUCACUUUUUAACUAGUGAAUAUUCUGCUCUCUUGGUAUUCUAUCCAGUAACUGAUAGGAUAUAUUCCUAUUCUUAUCUCCUCACAGUGUUUAUCCUUGAUUGUUCAUCCUAACCGGUGACAAAUUUUGCUCUUUGACGGUAAUUCUAUCCAGUAUUCGAUAGAUGUAAUUCCUACUUUUUUUUCGUUGGUUUACCCUUGAUAUGUUCCAUCUUAACGCGCGAUGACGGGUAUCUUCUGCAAUCCAAGCAAGUCUAUCCUUGAUAUGUUCAUCCUAACCGAUAACGAAUUUUUCUUCCUAUCGAGUUUAUCCUUGAUAAUGUUCAUUCUACCGAUGAGGGUACUCUCACGCCUUGGUCUUCUGCCCAGUAACUGGUGUUACAUACCCCAAAAUUUACGCCUCAUUUUCAUGGAACAUGGGGAUUUUCGUUUCACAUUGCAGUAGAUCCAUACUAGGUCAUACUCAUUGCAUACUGCAUUUAGUGACUUGGAAAUGCAGGGUUCUGAUUGAUCACUCCUUAGCAGAAGGAGCCGCACACAAAGCAAGACUGAGAAUUAGACUUCAUUUUCUUCUAUUUAUAGCAAGGUCGCAAGGGUCUCAAGGGGUUCAUCUGUCUUAUCUAUGGUCCUCAUUCAUCAGUGAAGGAUUCCGGGCUCUCAGAGUGUGCAUCCAGAUUUAAAUCAGAAAUCUAGGGCUUCAUGGCUACCUGGAACAGGCAAUGGUUUGGUGGGAAGAAAAGGAGGCUCAUUCAUGUAAUUAUUAGAGAGGCAUCUUUGGCCUAGGAAGAUUCUAAUAUUCACAAAGAUCAUUGGCAAUAGUGCCACUGGAGUUCCUAGUCAUUUUUGCCUAAACUAGGGUUUGGUAUAAAUCGGUUUAUUUCUGAUUCCUUGGGUGACCCUCUUUUCAUGGCCUCUAAUAUGUCCCCAGGGUCUACAUGCAAAAAAUCAGCUCUUUAUUUCGAGCAAAGGUGCUUCAAUUGAUAAGGUGGAAAUCGGGAAUCAGACAGUUUGGGAAAAGUCAACGGUGGAGCCAGAAAGUCAACUCCUGAAUUCUUGAAAAGUAAAUCUUUCAACAUUCAUGCCUAAGGAGGGCCUACACUGUGAAAUUUGAUCAAGGUUGGAUCAUGGAUUCAUCAUUUACAUCAGGAGUUUGGCAGAAAGUUACCAAAUUUGAAAUAGUUCUGACUUUCCAUUUCGGGGCAAGUUUUUUAUGGUUGUUGCACCCAUUUAAGCAUUUUCCAUCAGAUGCCAAGCUCCAUUUUGAACAUUCUCCAACAUGAAAGUUGUUCCUCUUGUUCCAAAGCUUCUCUAUAGAUCUACAAGUCUUAUUCAUUUGGAUUGAAAUUGAGAAAGUUAUGGCUUGGUCAAAGUCGAGACAUUAUUUAGAACACUUAGAAAAUUUUCUAAGUUCAAAAAUUUUGCAAAAUUUUUGUGCCGGGACUUUUGGGGCCAGUUUUCUUGCACUUUAAAGGCAAUAUUUUUGGAAAAUACUUUCCUUCAUGAGACAAUUGUACGCUUGAUAUGUUAUUUCACAUCCAUUUUUUUUUUUUUUUCUUUUUUUUUUUUUUUUUUUUUUUUUGCUUUUUUUUUGUUUUUUUUUUUUUUUUUUUUUUUUUUUGGAAUCAUCGCCAUUUGAUCAUUGUUUGAAAGACACACUCCUCUACAAGUUUUGGCCUCAUGGACUGAAUUUUUAGGCAGCAUUUAGGCGAAACUGGCCAACAUUUGCAGUUAUGGAACCUGGUAAUUUAUGGCCAUUUUUCACCUUCUUUCAACUCAUAUUUCACUGUGGUUUCAGAUAUGAAAGAUGUUAAGCUCCAUGCCCUUUUUCUCACUGUUUGCAUUGCCUUCUAUUUUGGUUACAUACUUCUUCACGAUACAAGGUCUUAAAGUCCACCUGUUGGACUGUUUUUAGCUGGCCAGCAAACACCAAGUCAGACCACAAAAACGAACAACGCACACACUUUUUUACCUGGUCAUUUGUCAUGCACUUUUAGGUUCACUACUUAGUUCUUGCACCACAUUUAAGAACUUGCUUUCAACCAACCUCACCUUUUGUAUGCAUAUUGGCACAUAAAAAAACGAAGCAUUGCAAGCCCAUUAAGAGCAUUUAACCUACAAUAUUAAGCUUAGAAACGCUAUCUGCAAGAUAGAGGUUGCUGUAUUUCGAGCUAGGCAAGCGCAAAGAGGAAAAAGACGCAAUUGCAUUCCUUCCAUUUUUCACAAGUUCUUGGAAAUUUCAAAGCAUCAAGAGCAUCUUCCUUUUUAUCUCUCCACUAACCAAGAAGUAGUGGACUGUUCUCCACUGAGGUAACCUCCUUUACCCAACCUUUCGCAUGGCCAUGAAAUAUCAUGCUUGUUCUUAUUUUUUUUUUCAUGUUCACAUGCUUACUUAGCAUAUU